AUUAAACUGAAGAGUUUGAUCAUGGCUCAGAUUGAACGCUGGCGGCAGGCCUAACACAUGCAAGUCGAGCGAGAAAGCACUUCGGUGCGAGUA
This 93-nucleotide ribosomal RNA is filed under the name Halioglobus sp. RNAcentral's name for it is "partial 16S ribosomal RNA". It matches the Rfam family "Bacterial small subunit ribosomal RNA", at positions 1 to 92 of the family's 1533-position model. The record is from RNAcentral. Lineage: Bacteria; Pseudomonadati; Pseudomonadota; Gammaproteobacteria; Cellvibrionales; Halieaceae.